Molecule: ribosomal RNA, 291 nt
Filed under: uncultured bacterium
Lineage: Bacteria
Description: partial 16S ribosomal RNA
Rfam family: Bacterial small subunit ribosomal RNA
Source: RNAcentral
GUGGAUUAGAUACCCUGGUAGUCCACGCCCUAAACGAUGUCAACUGGUUGUUGGGGAAGGCAACUUCCUUAGUAACGAAGCUAACGCGUGAAGUUGACCGCCUGGGGAGUACGGCCGCAAGGUUAAAACUCAAAGGAAUUGACGGGGACCCGCACAAGCGGUGGAUGAUGUGGAUUAAUUCGAUGCAACGCGAAGAACCUUACCUACCCUUGACAUGUACGGAAGCUGGGUGAGAGCUCAGUGUGCCCGAAAGGGAGCCGUAACACAGGUGCUGCACGGCUGUCGUCAACU